RNAcentral lists this ribosomal RNA (418 nucleotides) under uncultured bacterium. RNAcentral describes it as "bacterial SSU rRNA". It matches the Rfam family "Bacterial small subunit ribosomal RNA", at positions 91 to 507 of the family's 1533-position model. The record is from RNAcentral.
GAGAGCGGCGCACGGGUGCGGAACACGUGUGCAACCUGCCUUUAUCUGGGGGAUAGCCUUUCGAAAGGAAGAUUAAUACCCCAUAAUAUUUUGAAUGGCAUCAUUUAAAAUUGAAAACUCCGGUGGAUAGAGAUGGGCACGCGCAAGAUUAGAUAGUUGGUAGGGUAACGGCCUACCAAGUCAGUGAUCUUUAGGGGGCCUGAGAGGGUGAUCCCCCACACUGGGUACUGAGACACGGACCAGACUCCUACGGGAGGCAGCAGUGAGGAAUAUUGGACAAUGGGUGAGAGCCUGAUCCAGCCAUCCCGCGUGAAGGACGACGGCCCUAUGGGUUGUAAACUUCUUUUGUACAGGGGAUAACCUUUCCACGUGUGGAAAGCUGAAGGUACUGUACGAAUGAGCACCGGCUAACUCCGUG